Molecule: ribosomal RNA, 400 nt
Filed under: phytoplankton environmental sample
Lineage: Eukaryota
Description: partial small subunit ribosomal RNA
Rfam family: Eukaryotic small subunit ribosomal RNA
Source: RNAcentral
AGCUCCAAUAGCGUAUAUUAAAGUUGUUGCAGUUAAAAAGCUCGUAGUUGGAUUUCGGGAUGGGCCGGCCGGUCCGCCGCAAGGCGUGUUACUGACCGGGCUGUUCUUCUUCGCAAAGACUGCAUGUGCUCUUAACUGAGUGUGUGUAGGACUUGUGACGUUUACUUUGAAAAAAUUAGAGUGUUCAAAGCAGGCUUAGGCCGUUGGAUACAUUAGCAUGGAAUAAUGAGAUAGGGCCACCGCGGUCUAUUUUGUUGGUUUGCACGUUGUGGUAAUGAUUAACAGGAACGGUUGGGGGUAUUCGUAUUCAAUUGUCAGAGGUGAAAUUCUUGGAUUUGUGGAAGACGAACUACUGCGAAAGCAUUUACCAAGGAUGUUUUCAUUAAUCAAGAACGAAAGU